ACGGGAGGCAGCAGUGAGGAAUAUUGGUCAAUGGAGGCAACUCUGAACCAGCCAUCUCGCGUGAAGGAAUACGGCCCUACGGGUCUUAAACUUCUUUUAUAGGGGGAUAAAGUGAGCCACGUGUGGCUUUUUGUAGGUACCCUAUGAAUAAGCAUCGGCUAACUCCGUGCCAGCAGCCGCGGUAAUACGGAGGAUGCGAGCGUUAUCCGGAUUUAUUGGGUUUAAAGGGAGCGCAGGCGGAGAUGCAAGCCAGCCGUAAAAUCGUUGAGCUCAACUCAAUCUCGCGGUUGGAACUGCAUCCCUUGAGUGCACCAGAGGGCGGUGGAAUUCGUGGUGUAGCGGUGAAAUGCAUAGAUAUCACGAAGAACUCCGAUUGCGAAGGCAGCCGCCUGGGGUGUUACUGACGCUCAUGCUCGAAGGUGCGGGUAUCAAACAGGAUUAGAUACCCUGGUA
This 453-nucleotide ribosomal RNA is filed under the name uncultured Bacteroides sp. Its description in RNAcentral is "partial 16S ribosomal RNA". It matches the Rfam family "Bacterial small subunit ribosomal RNA", at positions 341 to 792 of the family's 1533-position model. The record is from RNAcentral. Lineage: Bacteria; Pseudomonadati; Bacteroidota; Bacteroidia; Bacteroidales; Bacteroidaceae.